This 301-nucleotide ribosomal RNA is filed under the name uncultured bacterium. Its description in RNAcentral is "partial 16S ribosomal RNA". It matches the Rfam family "Bacterial small subunit ribosomal RNA", at positions 509 to 807 of the family's 1533-position model. The record is from RNAcentral.
CAGCAGCCGCGGGAAAACGGAGGGUGCAAGCGUUAAUCGGAAUUACUGGGCGUAAAGCGCACGCAGGCGGUCUGACAAGUCAGAUGUGAAAUCCCCGGGCUUAACCUGGGAACUGCAUUUGAAACUGUCAGGCUGGAGUCUUGUAGAGGGGGGUAGAAUUCCAGGUGUAGCGGUGAAAUGCGUAGAGAUCUGGAGGAAUACCGGUGGCGAAGGCGGCCCCCUGGACAAAGACUGACGCUCAGGUGCGAAAGCGUGGGGAGCAAACAGGAUUAGAUACCCCUGUAGUCCCUGUCUCUUAUAC